CAGUAGCCGCGGUAAAACGUAGGGCGCAAGCGUUGUCCGGAAUUAUUGGGCGUAAAGAGCUCGUAGGCGGUCUGUCGCGUCUGGUGUGAAAUCCCGAGGCUCAACCUCGGGCUUGCAUCGGGUACGGGCAGACUAGAGUGCGGUAGGGGAGACUGGAAUUCCUGGUGUAGCGGUGGAAUGCGCAGAUAUCAGGAGGAACACCGAUGGCGAAGGCAGGUCUCUGGGCCGCAACUGACGCUGAGGAGCGAAAGCAUGGGGAGCGAACAGGAUUAGAUACCCGCGUAGUCCCUGUCUCUUAUAC
Molecule: ribosomal RNA, 301 nt
Filed under: uncultured bacterium
Lineage: Bacteria
Description: partial 16S ribosomal RNA
Rfam family: Bacterial small subunit ribosomal RNA
Source: RNAcentral